UACGAAGGGGGCUAGCGUUGUCCGGAAUCAUUGGGCGUAAAGCACGUGUAGGCGGUCCGGUAAGUCCGCUGUGAAAGUCGGGGGCUCAACCCUCGAAUGCCGGUGGAUACUGUCGGGCUAGAGUGCGGAAGAGGCGAGUGGAAUUCCUGGUGUAGCGGUGAAAUGCGCAGAUAUCAGGAGGAACACCAAUUGCGAAGGCAGCUCGCUGGGACGUUACUGACGCUGAGACGCGAAAGCGUGGGGAGCAAACAGG
This 253-nucleotide ribosomal RNA is filed under the name uncultured bacterium. RNAcentral's name for it is "partial 16S ribosomal RNA". It matches the Rfam family "Bacterial small subunit ribosomal RNA", at positions 524 to 776 of the family's 1533-position model. The record is from RNAcentral.